This 737-nucleotide ribosomal RNA is filed under the name uncultured beta proteobacterium. Its description in RNAcentral is "bacterial SSU rRNA". It matches the Rfam family "Bacterial small subunit ribosomal RNA", at positions 28 to 748 of the family's 1533-position model. The record is from RNAcentral. Lineage: Bacteria; Pseudomonadati; Pseudomonadota; Betaproteobacteria.
AUUGAACGCUGGCGGAACGCUUUACACAUGCAAGUCGAACGGUAACGCGGAGAGAAGCUUGCUUCUCUCCGGCGACGAGUGGCGAACGGGUGAGUAAUACAUCGGAACGUGUCCGCUCGUGGGGGACAACCAGCCGAAAGGUUGGCUAAUACCGCAUGAGUUCUACGGAAGAAAGAGGGGGACCCGCAAGGGCCUCUCGCGAGCGGAGCGGCCGAUGACUGAUUAGCCGGUUGGUGAGGUAACGGCUCACCAAAGCAACGAUCAGUAGCUGGUCUGAGAGGACGACCAGCCACACUGGGACUGAGACACGGCCCAGACUCCUACGGGAGGCAGCAGUGGGGAAUUUUGGACAAUGGGCGCAAGCCUGAUCCAGCUAUUCCGCGUGUGGGAUGAAGGCCCUCGGGUUGUAAACCACUUUUGUAGAGAACGAAAAGACACCUUUUAAAAAAGGGUGUUGCUGACGGUACUCUAAGAAUAAGCACCGGCUAACUACGUGCCAGCAGCCGCGGUAAUACGUAGGGUGCGAGCGUUAAUCGGAAUUACUGGGCGUAAAGGGUGCGCAGGCGGUUGAGUAAGACAGAUGUGAAAUCCCCGAGCUUAACUCGGGAAUGGCAUAUGUGACUGCUCGACUAGAGUGUGUCAGAGGGAGGUGGAAUUCCACGUGUAGCAGUGAAAUGCGUAGAUAUGUGGAAGAACACCGAUGGCGAAGGCAGCCUCCUGGGACAUAACUGACGCUC